This 245-nucleotide ribosomal RNA is filed under the name uncultured bacterium. Its description in RNAcentral is "partial 16S ribosomal RNA". It matches the Rfam family "Bacterial small subunit ribosomal RNA", at positions 524 to 768 of the family's 1533-position model. The record is from RNAcentral.
UACAGAGGGUGCAAGCGUUAAUCGGAGUUACUGGGCGUAAAGCGCGCGUAGGCGGAAAUUUAAGUCGGUUGUGAAAUCCUUGGGCUUAACCUGAGAAUUGCAAUCGAUACUGAAUUUCUGGAGUAUUGGAGAGGAAAGUGGAAUUCCCGGUGUAGCGGUAGAAUGCGUAGAUAUCGGGAGGAACACCAGUGGCGAAGGCGACUUUCUGGCCAAAUACUGACGCUGAGGCGCGAAAGCGUGGGGAG